This 1496-nucleotide long non-coding RNA is filed under the name Homo sapiens (human). Its description in RNAcentral is "HSALNT0381696". The record is from RNAcentral. Lineage: Eukaryota; Metazoa; Chordata; Mammalia; Primates; Hominidae.
AGUAGAGUCGAGAAAUUGGCCAUGAGGGCAGGCAGCCCCAGUGGUCGCAGCCCCUCAUCCCCAGACCUUGCUCGGGAACCAGACUUGUACCCCGCUUGGUGCCUCCUGCCAACAGCACAGGCCUGAGAAUGGAGCAACCUUUCUCACGUGGGACUCAGGCCAUGCCAAGAAAGAUUGCACAGCACAUCCUGGCAGGUUUCGCCACCAAGAGGCGACAGGAAAUGCUAAGAAUGGCUCCACUUAGCUUCCAGAAAUCAUGGCAACAAGUAGAACAUUUUCUGUCCACAUCCAGAGGGAGAAGCCACAGGAGGAAAUACCUUGAAGCUUGUGGGACGUGCCUGGUGAGGAUAUUCCGUUCAAUGACACAUCUGUCAUCUUUACAUGUUGACCAGCCAACAAGAACUUGCUGAGUACAGGACGGACAAGGUUGGCAUUCCGCUGGCUCUACAGGGGAUCAACGGGAAGGAUGGAGAGAACAGCUUGUGUGCCAGGUGGGGAGACGGACAUGGACCAAUACUGAAUAACCUACAACACAAUGGUUUAGAAAGAGAAUUCAAGGUAUGUGGACUGGACUUAAGCCAUGGCUAAGCUCACAAAAGACUUCCUGGAAGAAGAUGUACAGCCUAUGGUGAGGCACAACCUCCCUGUCUGUACUGCGAGUUCUUGGGUCAAGACACAACUCACCUCUACCUAUCUGUACACUGACAGCAAAGUCCUUUUAAUAUCAAACAGAAAUGAAUGACAAUGAUGGUGACCACAUUUCCCAAACCCACGAACGGUCAGGUUUCUGUGGCGCCUCUCCAUUUGAGAGGCUCUCUGAAAGCCAGUCGUGGAUAGCAUGCUUCCAUGUGUAUGUAAAUAACAAGACAUAUGGAACAUGUUAAAUCGGAAGACUGUUCCAUAUCCAGAAUUACUAAUGUACUAAUAAUCCUUUGAAUCCUCAAAAAAAACAAAAAACACUAUACUUUUAUGCCAAAGUAGAUGGAAUGGGUGACUAGAGAUAAAGCUGAAGAAAUUUCAGAUUUAAAAUCUGACUGGCCCAUUCACCAGCAGACUUAGGAAAGUGCUAACUGCGAAGCUGGCCAGUAUUCAGCUCGACAGUCCUAAAAACAAACGGAACCCUUUGGAGCUGGAAAGUGGUAUCAUAAAAGCCGCCGAAUGCGGUGCUUCUAGAGCGGCCCACCAGGAAAAUAUGACAGUUUACAUCUUUACGUAGCCUAAUGUACAGUGGGAAUAUAAAUAUCUCGUUCAGGCCCCAGUCACUGCCUGGAAUGGGAUGCUUUCCUUAACAAGAAGCAGAUGAGAGGCCCAGAAGCCAAACCUCUUAUUCUGUUGGUCUGAAGGCUGUAGUUUUCAGUCGGUCAGCACAGAGAGUGGCAAUUCAGGGAGGGAAGGCACUGCAUGUGUUUCCUUGGUCAGGACAAAAGCUUGUAGCUCUUUUCCUGGGCCCCCUGAGGCUCUCGUACGUUGAGUGUCCCGCAUGUGGUCAGCGGCUU